This 240-nucleotide unclassified non-coding RNA is filed under the name Glomus sp. RNAcentral's name for it is "partial contains 5.8S ribosomal RNA and internal transcribed spacer 2". The stretch from base 1 to 65 matches the Rfam family "5.8S ribosomal RNA", at positions 84 to 154 of the family's 154-position model. Lineage: Eukaryota; Fungi; Glomeromycota; Glomeromycetes; Glomerales; Glomeraceae. The record is from RNAcentral.
GUGAAUCAUCGAAUUUUUGAACGCAAGUUGCACUCUCCUCGGAGAGUAUGCCUGUUUGAGGGUCAGCCUCUAAAAAAUCGACAUCGUUGCUGUUUCGCGGUGGCGUUUGUCGGCAAUUGGGUCAUGUUACAUCUUUUGGUUUUAAGCGACUUGAAAUUUUCUUUUUGGUUGCAUGAACGAUUCUAAGAUUUAUUUCUUUACACGUUUAAGGUAUUGAUUCUUAUUAGACCUUAUCAUCAU